GGUUAAGCGACUAAGCGUACACGGUGGAUGCCCUGGCAGUCAGAGGCGAUGAAGGACGUGCUAAUCUGCGAAAAGCGUCGGUAAGGUGAUAUGAACCGUUACAGCCGGCGAUGUCCGAAUGGGGAAACCCAGUGCAAUUCGUUGCACUAUCGUUAACUGAAUACAUAGGUUAACGAGGCGAACCGGGGGAACUGAAACAUCUAAGUACCCCGAGGAAAAGAAAUCAACCGAGAUUCCCCCAGUAGCGGCGAGCGAACGGGGAGCAGCCCAGAGUCUGAAUCAGCUUGUGUGUUAGUGGAACGGUCUGGAAAGUCCGACGGUACAGGGUGAUAGUCCCGUACACCAAAAUGCACAGGCUGUGAACUCGAAGAGUAGGGCGGGACACGUGGUAUCCUGUCUGAAUAUGGGGGGACCAUCCUCCAAGGCUAAAUACUCCUGACUGACCGAUAGUGAACCAGUACCGUGAGGGAAAGGCGAAAAGAACCCCGGCGAGGGGAGUGAAAAAGAACCUGAAACCGUGUACGUACAAGCAGUGGGAGCACCUUCGGGUGUGACUGCGUACCUUUUGUAUAAUGGGUCAGCGACUUAUAUUCUGUAGCAAGGUUAACCGUAUAGGGGAGCCGCAGGGAAACCGAGUCUUAACUGGGCGUUAAGUUGCAGGGUAUAGACCCGAAACCCGGUGAUCUAGCCAUGGGCAGGUUGAAGGUUGGGUAACACUAACUGGAGGACCGAACCGACUAAUGUUGAAAAAUUAGCGGAUGACUUGUGGCUGGGGGUGAAAGGCCAAUCAAACCGGGAGAUAGCUGGUUCUCCCCGAAAGCUAUUUAGGUAGCGCCUCGUGAAUUCAUCUUCGGGGGUAGAGCACUGUUUCGGCUAGGGGGUCAUCCCGACUUACCAACCCGAUGCAAACUACGAAUACCGAAGAAUGUUAUCACGGGAGACACACGGCGGGUGCUAACGUCCGUCGUGAAGAGGGAAACAACCCAGACCGCCAGCUAAGGUCCCAAAGUCAUGGUUAAGUGGGAAACGAUGUGGGAAGGCACAGACAGCCAGGAUGUUGGCUUAGAAGCAGCCAUCAUUUAAAGAAAGCGUAAUAGCUCACUGGUCGAGUCGGCCUGCGCGGAAGAUGUAACGGGGCUAAACCAUGCACCGAAGCUGCGGCAGCGACACUAUGUGUUGUUGGGUAGGGGAGCGUUCUGUAAGCCUGCGAAGGUGUGCUGUGAGGCAUGCUGGAGGUAUCAGAAGUGCGAAUGCUGACAUAAGUAACGAUAAAGCGGGUGAAAAGCCCGCUCGCCGGAAGACCAAGGGUUCCUGUCCAACGUUAAUCGGGGCAGGGUGAGUCGACCCCUAAGGCGAGGCCGAAAGGCGUAGUCGAUGGGAAACAGGUUAAUAUUCCUGUACUUGGUGUUACUGCGAAGGGGGGACGGAGAAGGCUAUGUUAGCCGGGCGACGGUUGUCCCGGUUUAAGCAUGUAGGCUGAUUGUCCAGGCAAAUCCGGAUAAUCAAGGCUGAGGUGUGAUGACGAGGCACUACGGUGCUGAAGUAACAAAUGCCCUGCUUCCAGGAAAAGCCUCUAAGCAUCAGGUAACAUUAAAUCGUACCCCAAACCGACACAGGUGGUCAGGUAGAGAAUACCAAGGCGCUUGAGAGAACUCGGGUGAAGGAACUAGGCAAAAUGGUGCCGUAACUUCGGGAGAAGGCACGCUGGUGUGUAGGUGAAGCCCCUGCGGGUGGAGCUGAGACCAGUCGAAGAUACCAGCUGGCUGCAACUGUUUAUUAAAAACACAGCACUGUGCAAACACGAAAGUGGACGUAUACGGUGUGACGCCUGCCCGGUGCCGGAAGGUUAAUUGAUGGGGUUAUCCGUAAGGAGAAGCUCUUGAUCGAAGCCCCGGUAAACGGCGGCCGUAACUAUAACGGUCCUAAGGUAGCGAAAUUCCUUGUCGGGUAAGUUCCGACCUGCACGAAUGGCGUAAUGAUGGCCAGGCUGUCUCCACCCGAGACUCAGUGAAAUUGAACUCGCUGUGAAGAUGCAGUGUACCCGCGGCAAGACGGAAAGACCCCGUGAACCUUUACUAUAGCUUGACACUGAACAUUGAGCCUUGAUGUGUAGGAUAGGUGGGAGGCUUUGAAGCGUGGACGCCAGUCUGCGUGGAGCCAACCUUGAAAUACCACCCUUUAAUGUUUGAUGUUCUAACGUUGGCCCCUUACCGGGGUUGCGGACAGUGUCUGGUGGGUAGUUUGACUGGGGCGGUCUCCUCCCAAAGCGUAACGGAGGAGCACGAAGGUUAGCUAAUCCUGGUCGGACAUCAGGAGGUUAGUGCAAUGGCAUAAGCUAGCUUGACUGCGAGCGUGACGGCGCGAGCAGGUGCGAAAGCAGGUCAUAGUGAUCCGGUGGUUCUGAAUGGAAGGGCCAUCGCUCAACGGAUAAAAGGUACUCCGGGGAUAACAGGCUGAUACCGCCCAAGAGUUCAUAUCGACGGCGGUGUUUGGCACCUCGAUGUCGGCUCAUCACAUCCUGGGGCUGAAGUAGGUCCCAAGGGUAUGGCUGUUCGCCAUUUAAAGUGGUACGCGAGCUGGGUUUAGAACGUCGUGAGACAGUUCGGUCCCUAUCUGCCGUGGGCGCUGGAGAAUUGAGGGGGGCUGCUCCUAGUACGAGAGGACCGGAGUGGACGCAUCACUGGUGUUCGGGUUGUCAUGCCAAUGGCACUGCCCGGUAGCUAAAUGCGGAAGAGAUAAGUGCUGAAAGCAUCUAAGCACGAAACUUGCCCCGAGAUGAGUUCUCCCUGAGACUUUAAGUCUCCUGAAGGAACGUUAAAGACGAUGACGUUGAUAGGCCGGGUGUGUAAGCGCAGCGAUGCGUUGAGCUAACCGGUACUAAUGAACCGUGAGGCUUAACCUU
Molecule: ribosomal RNA, 2902 nt
Filed under: Klebsiella pneumoniae
Lineage: Bacteria; Pseudomonadati; Pseudomonadota; Gammaproteobacteria; Enterobacterales; Enterobacteriaceae
Description: 23S ribosomal RNA
Rfam family: Bacterial large subunit ribosomal RNA
Source: RNAcentral